UGGGGAAUAUUGCACAAUGGGCGAAAGCCUGAUGCAGCAACGCCGCGUGCGGGAUGACGGCCUUCGGGUUGUAAACCGCUUUCAGCUCCGACGAAUGUGACGGUAGGAGCAGAAGAAGCACCGGCUAACUACGUGCCAGCAGCCGCGGUGAUACGUAGGGUGCGAGCGUUGUCCGGAUUUAUUGGGCGUAAAGAGCUCGUAGGUGGUUUGUCGCGUCGGGAGUGAAAACCCAAGGCUUAACUUUGGGCUUGCUUUCGAUACGGGCUGACUUGAGGAAGGUAGGGGAGAACGGAAUUCCUGGUGGAGCGGUGGAAUGCGCAGAUAUCAGGAGGAACACCGGUGGCGAAGGCGGUUCUCUGGACCUUUCCUGACGCUGAGGAGCGAAAGCGUGGGGAGCAAACA
This 402-nucleotide ribosomal RNA is filed under the name uncultured prokaryote. RNAcentral's name for it is "bacterial SSU rRNA". It matches the Rfam family "Bacterial small subunit ribosomal RNA", at positions 355 to 774 of the family's 1533-position model. The record is from RNAcentral.